This is a long non-coding RNA of Papaver somniferum (opium poppy), 572 nucleotides long. RefSeq lists it as uncharacterized. The record is from RefSeq and is a predicted model, not a curated record. Lineage: Eukaryota; Viridiplantae; Streptophyta; Magnoliopsida; Ranunculales; Papaveraceae. The transcript has 2 exons.
UUUCAUCGUUUUCUUUGCCCACUAUCUUCUUCCUUCUCCCUUUGUAAUUAUCGCUUCACCACCGCCGCAAGCAAGGGAAGAAAUCUUGUCUCAAAUCUGUGGUCAAGUCUCCAUAUUUUGGCUAGAGAUUGGACUGUGCACAGAGUACGGAGAGAAGUUGCGGUAGUAAGCCGGGCAGAGCUUACGGAAGGCUUUAUCGCUUGGAAAGUUAGUAUUUUCUAAGCUUAUGAUAUUGUAUAUCACGGGGGGUAUCUGGGUAGUUUCAGUUCGCUUGAUUUGAUCCCAUGUCAUUUCUAUUGCACUUUGAUGUUAUAUAUAUGUUGGCUUCUACCGGAUCUUUAUAUGUUUUAAAUUGAAAACUUGUCAGUUUCGUGUAUAACGGGUCUGGUCUCGGGCUAUACAGACUAGUUUCUGAAUUCAUUUUGUUGCCUAGAUGUUCUUGGCUUUUGGCUUUACGGACUACAUUCUUUACCAUUGUUCUUUUUGGCAUUUGUUUAAUCUAAGAUAGGAUCUGUACAGUGAAUUUCUAAGUGUAAUUAAUAGCUACUUAUAUUCAUUUUCCUGUGAAAUAA